RNAcentral lists this non-coding RNA (21 nucleotides) under Arabidopsis thaliana (thale cress). Lineage: Eukaryota; Viridiplantae; Streptophyta; Magnoliopsida; Brassicales; Brassicaceae. The record is from RNAcentral.
UUGUAAGUCACUACGUUUGGG